Molecule: long non-coding RNA, 629 nt
Organism: Benincasa hispida (wax gourd)
Lineage: Eukaryota; Viridiplantae; Streptophyta; Magnoliopsida; Cucurbitales; Cucurbitaceae
Source: RefSeq, a predicted model, not a curated record
UUCUUCUGAAAUCAUCUAGAUUUUCAGAAAGAGUUUUGAAGGCAUCCAUCUUGUAUGUAAAGAAACGUUCUUUUAGAUAAACUAUAUUGGAUAGAUCUUUAAAUUGAUACAAAGAUUCUAAUUUUUUCCCAAAUAGCAUGAGGGGUUCCUCCAUCUAAGACCUGUCUAAGAUAUUAUCAUUGAGAUUCAAAAUAAUUGUACCAUAAGCAACUUCAUUCAUUGUCUCCCUUUGAUCUACUAGGCCCAAAAUGAAGACAACAACCCAAAGAGAAAAGAUAAGAAGGUGAUUCGAUGAGUUAUUUCAAUGAAGCCACGUAGCAGGACAGAUUACCACACGUUGAAGGAUGAAGAAGAAGAAGGAGAAGAAGAAUUUAUAUUGGUUCGACAGCUAUGGCCUACGUCCACUGUGAAACUGGAGCAAUCUUAUUACAUGGAUCAAUUUUGAAGGAGAUUAGAAAACCAAAUAAGUAUCUCAGGCUCUAAUUCAUUCACCUAGCUCUUUUAGAUUUCAAAUGGUGCUUUAUAUAGAUGAAGAGUGAAUUAGUUACACUGUUAAAAUAGUCUUCUGACUUCAACACAUUACAAACAAGAUCGACUUGAGAUUCAAAUAAAAGUUUUAACUUCUCGUA